RNAcentral lists this ribosomal RNA (253 nucleotides) under uncultured bacterium. RNAcentral's name for it is "partial 16S ribosomal RNA". It matches the Rfam family "Bacterial small subunit ribosomal RNA", at positions 524 to 776 of the family's 1533-position model. The record is from RNAcentral.
UACGAAGGGGGCUAGCGUUGCUCGGAAUCACUGGGCGUAAAGCGCACGUAGGCGGAUUGCUAAGUCAGGGGUGAAAUCCUGGAGCUCAACUCCAGAACUGCCUUUGAUACUGGCGAUCUUGAGUCCGGGAGAGGUGAGUGGAACUGCGAGUGUAGAGGUGAAAUUCGUAGAUAUUCGGAAGAACACCAGUGGCGAAGGCGACUUACUGGACACAUAUUGACGCUGAGGUGCGAAAGCGUGGGGAGCAAACAGG